AAGAAAGUAAUAAAGGGCGUAUGGGGGAUGCCUAGGCUCUUGGAGGCGACGAAAGACGUGGUAAGCUGCGAUAAGCCUCGGGGAUUUGCAAACGAGAAUUGAUCCGAGGAUUUCUGAAUGGGACAACCCGCUAGGCAGAAGGCCUAGCACACAAAAGUGGGCCAACCCUCUGAACUGAAACAUCUUAGUAGGAGGAGGAAAAGAAAGAAACAUCGAUUUCCUAAGUAGCGGCGAGCGAACGGGAAGAAGCCUAAACCGUAAUUGUUACGGCAAUUGCGGGGUUGUAGGACUGCAAUAUUCAAGUGACUGUCAACUGGAAUGUUCUGGAAAGUUCAUCCAUAGAGAGUGAAAGACUCGUACAGGUAAGCACGUUAUGCGAUAGCAGUAUCCUGAGUAGGGCGGGACACGAGGAAUCCUGUCUGAAUCUGCCGGGACCACCCGGUAAGGCUAAAUACUCCCAAGAGACCGAUAGUGAACCAGUACCGUGAGGGAAAGGUGAAAAGAACCCCGAACAGGGGAGUGAAAUAGAACCUGAAACCAUACGCUUACAACCUGUCGGAGCAGCUUCGUGCUGUGACGGCGUGCCUAUUGAAUAAUGAGCCUACGAGUUACUAAUCACUGGCGAGGUUAAGUGCACGGAUGCACGGAGCCGAAGCGAAAGCGAGUCUUAAUAGGGCGUUUAGUCAGUGGUUGUAGACGCGAAA
RNAcentral lists this ribosomal RNA (704 nucleotides) under Escherichia coli. RNAcentral's name for it is "partial 23S ribosomal RNA". It matches the Rfam family "Bacterial large subunit ribosomal RNA", at positions 1 to 720 of the family's 2925-position model. The record is from RNAcentral. Lineage: Bacteria; Pseudomonadati; Pseudomonadota; Gammaproteobacteria; Enterobacterales; Enterobacteriaceae.